UAAUCUCAACUGGUAAAAUUGAGCUCUGCUGCCUGUCGCUCCAAAGGCUCAAGUUACUUGUUGGGAUUAUG
This 71-nucleotide microRNA precursor is filed under the name Capitella teleta. RNAcentral's name for it is "Cte-Mir-216-P2d_pre stem-loop". The record is from RNAcentral. Lineage: Eukaryota; Metazoa; Annelida; Polychaeta; Capitellidae.